RNAcentral lists this long non-coding RNA (1192 nucleotides) under Mytilus galloprovincialis (Mediterranean mussel). Lineage: Eukaryota; Metazoa; Mollusca; Bivalvia; Mytilida; Mytilidae. The record is from RNAcentral.
UGAUAAUUAUUGAAAAACUGGUUAUCGUCAUACAUGGACUGCCCAUAGGACAGUGAUAUUGGCCGCGACAGUGAUAAUGGCAACGUCUAUAGCUCUAUAACGCUGCCUUAGUCAAUACCACUGUCCUGUGGGCAGUCUAUAUAUCACAGCAAUGACCAGUUUAACUAUUAUAUAAGUUCAAUAUCUCUUUCUUUUCACUAGGAAUAAAAACGAUCAGCCGAUUGUUUCUUUGGAAAUAAGAAUGUAUUUAAAUGAUUAUUCAGAGGUGGAUUUAGGGAGGCAGUGGGUCCGGGAUCCCUUUUUGUGGGAAAAAUUUGGUUGCUUAUUUAGGGAAAAACAGGGCAUGAAUGGAGUGGGCCCUAUCUUAAGCAUAGUGGGUCUCCUUAUGAAAAUAACUGGAUCCGCUACUGUUAUAUGGCAUACUCAAAAACCGAGAGCAUAUAGUACUUUUUUUCUUCUUUUUAAGUCAAAUUAUGAUGCAUUUUAUAAUCUUUGUUGGAUAAGUAUGAUAUACAUUUAUGUUUUUCUUUUGACAAAAACCAUUUAAGCCUGUACUACGUACUACUACCGUAAAUACGUCACGAUAUAUCCUGGAUUAUAAAAUUGAUACAUGUACACUGCUUAACCACCCUAAACAAACAUGUCGUAAAUAAACCUACUUUGAUAUCCUAUGAUAUUCGAGUGAAAUGUACUGCACUGCUUCCUGAUUGCAUGUUGACCCAUUCACUUUCGUUACAACUGUAUUUAUGGAUUAAAGUCAAUUUAUUGGAUAUGACGCAUAAACAAAAGUAAAUUAUUUCAUGUAUUUUCCGUCAUUUCUUUUUUUUUCCAUUUCGUUCAAUUUUUAACAAACAAAACUAGAGGCUCUAAAGAGCCUGUGUCGCUCACCUUGGUCUAUGUGAAUAUUAAAGGAAUCAGAUGGAUUCAUGACAAAAUUGAGUUUUGGUGAUGGUGAUGUGUUUGUACAUCUUACUUUACUGAACAUUCUUGCUGCCAGUGAUAUUGUUGCCAUUUUUCAAAACUACCUCUACCCUUUUUUAUUGGGAAAAUAUGCAUCAUGUUUAUCAAAUUGGGAAAUUUAGAAUAAACCAAGAAUUUGACUGGAACUUCAAUUUGCAGACCCCCUUUCAAGAGGUAAACCCUCAUUUGAAAUAAGACCCCUUAUAGUCAGUGAUGAUACAUAAAUAGACCC